CUCCAGUUGGGCUUCCACGUUCUCACCAGCUAACUUCAUUUCUCCCUUCUCAGCUUUAAUUCCCAAUUUUUUCUCAGCAAUCCCUAGCUCUUUCCCCAAUUCCCCUCUACAAACCCUAAUUCCUCUUCCACGUUCCCAUCAUGUAACUUCAUUUCCCCUUUUUUUUUUAUUUCAAUUCCCAAUUUCUCCUCAGUAAUCCCUAGCUCUUUCCCCACUUCCCCUUCUACAAAACCUAGUUCCUCCUCCUAGGUCGUUACGAUACCCACUUCUACAGUAGAUGCUUGUCCCCAGGGAUCGAAAUUAGGAAAUUGUGAUUUCAGAACCGAAAAGUCUUCCUAGGAUACACUCGGAUUUGUCCAUCAGCAUUCACUUCCGAAGGAUCCUUGGAGGGACCAUAAUACCUUGCUGAGAGUUUAAGGUUCUUUCUCAGAGCAACUGAAGUCUGUCUAUAAGGUUGCAAUUUAAGAUUGACAAGGCAUAUCCUCGUGAUUUCAUGCAAAGAGGGGGAGUGAGGGUUCAAUUGAAAAAGGAGGAUGGGACUUUAAGCAAUCCAGCCAUUCCUUAAGCAAACAGCUGAAGCUCCAAGUUGCGGAGUUGGUACCUAGACAUCCGGGAAGGACUAAGAAGCAGGAAGCUCCAUCGACAUCGAGUACUUCCGGAUCUUCCAAGUCCGGGAAGGGUGGAAGAAAAAAGCGAUAGCUCUGUUACUCCUGAAACAACAGAAGGUCAUGGUUUUCCCUUGGGACAUUUUAAAUUUUGCCGUUGAGCUAAACAUCUGAGUGAGCUUCGGAGUAUAUGUUUACAAACGAAUUUCGUAGAUUCUUGAUAGGUUAAUCAUUGAACCCUUGAACUU
This is a long non-coding RNA of Hibiscus syriacus, 853 nucleotides long. RefSeq lists it as uncharacterized. The record is from RefSeq and is a predicted model, not a curated record. NCBI's taxonomy places the organism in Eukaryota, Viridiplantae, Streptophyta, Magnoliopsida, Malvales, Malvaceae. The transcript has 5 exons.